RNAcentral lists this ribosomal RNA (497 nucleotides) under uncultured bacterium. Its description in RNAcentral is "partial 16S ribosomal RNA". It matches the Rfam family "Bacterial small subunit ribosomal RNA", at positions 28 to 507 of the family's 1533-position model. The record is from RNAcentral.
GAUGAACGCUGGCGGCGUGCCUAAUACAUGCAAGUCGAGCGAACGGACGAGAAGCUUGCUUUUCUGAUGUUAGCGGCGGACGGGUGAGUAACACGUGGAUAACCUACCUAUAAGACUGGGAUAACUUCGGGAAACCGGAGCUAAUACCGGAUAAUAUUUUGAACCGCAUGGUUCAAAAGUGAAAGACGGUCUUGCUGUCACUUAUAGAUGGAUCCGCGCUGCAUUAGCUAGUUGGUAAGGUAACGGCUUACCAAGGCAACGAUGCAUAGCCGACCUGAGAGGGUGAUCGGCCACACUGGAACUGAGACACGGUCCAGACUCCUACGGGAGGCAGCAGCAGGAAAUCUUCCGCAAUGGGCGAAAGCCUGACGGAGCAACGCCGCGUGAGUGAUGAAGGUCUUCGGAUCGUAAAACUCUGUUAUUAGGGAAGAACAUAUGUGUAAGUAACUGUGCACAUCUUGACGGUACCUAAUCAGAAAGCCACGGCUAACUACGUG